Molecule: ribosomal RNA, 490 nt
Filed under: uncultured bacterium
Lineage: Bacteria
Description: partial 16S ribosomal RNA
Rfam family: Bacterial small subunit ribosomal RNA
Source: RNAcentral
GAUGAACGCUAGCGGCAGGCCUAAUACAUGCAAGUCGAACGGGAACCAGAUCAAAUCUUGCUUUUGUCUGGUGAGAGUGGCGCACGGGUGCGUAACGCGUGACCAACCUACCCUUGUCAGGGGGCUAGCCCGGCGAAAGUCUGAUUAAUACUGCAUUACUUCACCGCGUGGUAUCUUUCGAUGAUCAAAGUUUUAUCUGACUAGGAUGGGCUCGCGUGACAUUAGCUAGUUGGUAAGGUAACGGCUCACCAAGGAUACGAUGUCGAGGGGCUCCGAGAGGAGGACCCCCCACACUGGAAACAAGACCCAGACCAGAAUGGUACGGGAGGCAGCAGUAAGGAAUACAAGGCAAGGGAGGGAAGUCUGAACAAGCCACGCCGGGUACAGAAGGACGGCCAUCGGAGUUGUAAGCUACUUUUAAACGAGAACAGUCGACGGUACGAGGACCGGUCUGAGGGUACCGAAAGAAUAAGGAUCGGCUAACUCCGUG